RNAcentral lists this ribosomal RNA (1346 nucleotides) under uncultured bacterium. RNAcentral's name for it is "bacterial SSU rRNA". It matches the Rfam family "Bacterial small subunit ribosomal RNA", at positions 28 to 1381 of the family's 1533-position model. The record is from RNAcentral.
GACGAACGCUGGCGGCGUGCUUAACACAUGCAAGUCGAACGGAAAGGCCCUGCUUUUGUGGGGUGCUCGAGUGGCGAACGGGUGAGUAACACGUGAGUAACCUGCCCUUGACUUUGGGAUAACUUCAGGAAACUGGGGCUAAUACCGGAUAGGAGCUCCUGCUGCAUGGUGGGGGUUGGAAAGUUUCGGCGGUUGGGGAUGGACUCGCGGCUUAUCAGCUUGUUGGUGGGGUAGUGGCUUACCAAGGCUUUGACGGGUAGCCGGCCUGAGAGGGUGACCGGCCACAUUGGGACUGAGAUACGGCCCAGGCUCCUACGGGAGGCAGCAGUGGGGAAUAUUGCACAAUGGGCGGAAGCCUGAUGCAGCAACGCCGCGUGCGGGAUGACGGCCUUCGGGUUGUAAACCGCUUUCGCCUGUGACGAAGCGUGAGUGACGGUAAUGGGUAAAGAAGCACCGGCUAACUACGUGCCAGCAGCCGCGGUGAUACGUAGGGUGCGAGCGUUGUCCGGAUUUAUUGGGCGUAAAGGGCUUGUAGGUGGUUGAUCGCGUCGGAAGUGUAAUCUUGGGGCUUAACCCUGAGCGUGCUUUCGAUACGGGUUGACUUGAGGAAGGUAGGGGAGAAUGGAAUUCCUGGUGGAGCGGUGGAAUGCGCAGAUAUCAGGAGGAACACCAGUGGCGAAGGCGGUUCUCUGGGCCUUUCCUGACGCUGAGGAGCGAAAGCGUGGGGAGCGAACAGGCUUAGAUACCCUGGUAGUCCACGCUGUAAACGGUGGGUACUAGGUGUGGGGUCCAUUCCACGGGUUCCGUGCCGUAGCUAACGCUUUAAGUACCCCGCCUGGGGAGUACGGCCGCAAGGCUAAAACUCAAAGGAAUUGACGGGGCCCCGCACAAGCGGCGGAGCAUGCGGAUUAAUUCGAUGCAACGCGUAGAACCUUACCUGGGUUUGACAUGGAUCGGGAGCGCUCAGAGAUGGGUGUGCCUCUUUUGGGGUCGGUUCACAGGUGGUGCAUGGCUGUCGUCAGCUCGUGUCGUGAGAUGUUGGGUUAAGUCCCGCAACGAGCGCAACCCUUGUUCACUGUUGCCAGCACGUUAUGGUGGGGACUCAGUGGAGACCGCCGGGGUCAACUCGGAGGAAGGUGGGGAUGACGUCAAGUCAUCAUGCCCCUUAUGUCCAGGGCUUCACGCAUGCUACAAUGGCUGGUACAGAGAGUGGCGAGCCUGUGAGGGUGAGCGAAUCUCGGAAAGCCGGUCUCAGUUCGGAUUGGGGUCUGCAACUCGACCUCAUGAAGUCGGAGUCGCUAGUAAUCGCAGAUCAGCAACGCUGCGGUGAAUACGUUCCCGGGGCU